This is a long non-coding RNA of Protopterus annectens (West African lungfish), 572 nucleotides long. RefSeq lists it as uncharacterized. The transcript is spliced from 3 exons. NCBI's taxonomy places the organism in Eukaryota, Metazoa, Chordata, Ceratodontiformes, Protopteridae. The record is from RefSeq and is a predicted model, not a curated record.
UGUUGGGAAAUGAGAGAGACAAGUUUUACAGCACACAUCGCGAGAUUUAGAGACAGCGCGACUUGAAAACAGCAACAAUAGAGAUUGGGGGUUGCAAGUAUUGUUUCGGAAGUGGUGCGUUGAUUCUGCAUUUUUCUGUCCAUCCCUGCACCCCCCAUGAGUUUUAUUGUUAAUUUUUUUUCUGACUUCUACAGACAGCUGUCCAGUACAUCUUGCUGUCAGAUUGACAAGACUAUGUUGGUAAUAAGUAAGUAAUGUCCGGUCCCACGACAAGUAACUACUGGGUUGUCAAUUUGCUUUGUUAAUUCUGAAACAAAAGCAGAAUAAGACAUAAACUGUGUCACAUUUGUUCAAAGCAGGAGAGACUAAUGUCCAGGUCUGAAUGACAAAUAUGCUAAGAAGGAGCUCUACCGCAGCCCAACACUGCUGAGUAUGUAGCUGAGGAGGGUGAUGAUUAAGCUGGGAGUUCCUUGUCAGGUAGUCUCCAGUCCUUACUGGCAGUUAGCCCAGUGCCAUUGCUCAACAUGGCCCAGCAGCAGCUGGUGCAAGUGGUGAAGUCUGCUAUGGUGACA